AUUGAACGCUGGCGGCAGGCCUAACACAUGCAAGUCGAGCGGAUGAAGGGAGCUUGCUCCUGGAUUCAGCGGCGGACGGGUGAGUAAUGCAUAGGAAUCUGCCCGGUAGUGGGGGAUAACGUCCGGAAACGGGCGCUAAUACAGCAUACGUCCUGAGGGAGAAAGUGGGGGAUCUUCGGACCUCACGCUAUCAGAUGAGCCUAGGUCGGAUUAGCUAGUUGGUGGGGUAAAGGCCUACCAAGGCGACGAUCCGUAACUGGUCUGAGAGGAUGAUCAGUCACACUGGAACUGAGACACGGUCCAGACUCCUACGGGAGGCAGCAGUGGGGAAUAUUGGACAAUGGGCGAAAGCCUGAUCCAGCCAUGCCGCGUGUGUGAAGAAGGUCUUCGGAUUGUAAAGCACUUUAAUUUGGGAGGAAGGGCAGUAAGUUAAUACCUUGCUGUUUUGACGUUACCAACAGAAUAAGCACCGGCUAACUUCGUG
Molecule: ribosomal RNA, 484 nt
Filed under: uncultured bacterium
Lineage: Bacteria
Description: partial 16S ribosomal RNA
Rfam family: Bacterial small subunit ribosomal RNA
Source: RNAcentral